UAAAAAAAAAUCACUUAACCCACUGUUGUGUCGGGUCUCUACUGCAGCAGCUGAACCUGUACGUAACCUGAUAACGGAGGGAGUCCAUGUAUCUGUUAUCUUUUGCCACAACAGUGCUAACUAAUAAACCAUCCUCAAAACUCAGGAGGCUGGGAAACCGAUUCUCACAGGUUGGCCGUUACCGCUGUACUUUAAUGCCCUGCUGGCUGGAUCGGCGCGGCUUCUCACUGCUGGUCUUGUCUCCCUGUGUUGCUGCCGGGACCCAGCCUGAAGAGGCAGCGGCUACCCAAGAGAAGCGUAAGAGAGCAAGCACUCUUGCUCUCUUCGAGCCUAAGCACGGAGCCUCUUCGAGCCUCUUCGAGCCUCUUCGAGCCUAAGCACGGAACCAGCCCCAAGCCCCAAGCCAGGGGAUGGGAAAGUACACUGUGGCCACGAGGAGACACAGCAGGAGCGGGGAUGCGGGGAGGGCCCAUAAUUCUCUCUCCCAGAAUGUGACAGAGUCCUGGGUUAGAGGCUACGACACGGUGGCCCUGCUCUUCUAGGCGUCACCUACGAAUGGCGCGGAGUGAAAGAUAGCGUCCGUCCAUGUGAAGACUCAACCGCAGUUCUCUAUUAGGUCAGGAGCCCUGACAAGACAAGAAUCACAUCUCCUUCCUCUUCCCAACGCCUAGUGCCAGACCCUGCCCUCAGGGCUGACUCGGGGAUAUUACUGGGUGAAUCUGAGACCAUUUCUUCACUCUCUGCGUAGGAUUCCUUAUGUAAUACAGACUGACCUCCUAAAGGUCAGCACACAGUGCUAUGUGUUUGCCCCCAAAGCUGCAAAGGGACCGUGCCAUUGGGAACUGAGAUGUGUACCUAGGUCUGUCUACACCGCAUCCUGGAUCCACUGCCUCCCAGAGGGACCUCCAGAAGAAAGGACUUCUACAAGUUAAAUAUCGCAGACUUCACAGUCCAAAGGAGAACCGCUUGAAGAGAGCCAUGGUCGACGCUAAGGAAUGCCACCAUCACCACAGAAUUCCAGGCACCGGGCAUGUGGGUAGAAAGUAUAUUUUAGGGCAGUGACUCAUGGUAAGUCGUUUCCUCCAGACCCUAAAACGGACUAUUCAAUGUCAAGCUGUCUCAGGCUCAGGCUGAUAACAGGGCAGCCAUAGGGGACCUAAUGGGAGCUGCGUUGUCACGGUCCAAGUCUGUACACACCGCUUGUAUAACCUGCCCAAGUUCGCAAAGACAAUAUAUCAGUCGCCGCUCUUUAUGCUCCAAGUGAAAGAAAUCCAACUAACAUAUGCUUAAACCAAAAAUGUCAUACAGUGUAUCGGCUCACAUAACCCGGAAGCCUAAGAUCUUAAAGCUGGCCGCAUCUAGCGCUCAAACGUCAUUCUCUCCCCAACUGUCCCUCAGUUGUGCUUUCCUCCAUGAUGGCUUCAGGCUUCAGGAUGCAUGCCCCAAGACUGCAAAGAUAGUCGUUAGUAACUCCAACUCUCCACUGAGGUUGAGCAAGCCUCAUAAAGGAAAGCCAGUCUUCAAAAAGCCUCUGAUUGGUCUGCUCGGACCCUGUAUCUGGUAGGAGGAGACCCUGAUUGGCCAGCCAUGGCCACGUGCACCUGCAAGACUACCUGGUGGACUCGUGGCCCAUGAAUGGUGGAAACGUGCGCCAGAGUAAGAUGGAGAGAGGAAGACAAGCCCGUAGACUUUGCAGAGGGGCCGAGAGGCCUGAGAAGUAAGAGAAGACCAGGAGACGGGGGCUCCUGAAAAGAUCGACAAGAGAUUACCAUGCGGGGUUCCCACAGCUUUUGCAGACAGCAGCUGCGCAAAAAUUCAUUGGAAGAACUGAGGAAUGUUGCUGGCUCCAUCUGGGGGAGGGCAUGCUUGUAUCAAGACACUGAUGCUCUUGAUGUGCUAUAAUUAUAACCAGAAACACUAUCCUUUUGCCCAAGAAGCUGGAUUUCCUAGUAAAUUCCUUACUUUCCAAGUUGUUUAAUGCUAA
This is a long non-coding RNA of Lynx canadensis (Canada lynx), 1984 nucleotides long. RefSeq lists it as uncharacterized. The transcript is spliced from 2 exons. NCBI's taxonomy places the organism in Eukaryota, Metazoa, Chordata, Mammalia, Carnivora, Felidae. The record is from RefSeq and is a predicted model, not a curated record.